This is a non-coding RNA of Colius striatus (speckled mousebird), 40 nucleotides long. The record is from Rfam. Lineage: Eukaryota; Metazoa; Chordata; Aves; Coliiformes; Coliidae.
GCUCUUUUAAGAGCCACCCACAUUUUCUCAAAAAGAGCUG